RNAcentral lists this ribosomal RNA (497 nucleotides) under uncultured bacterium. RNAcentral describes it as "partial 16S ribosomal RNA". It matches the Rfam family "Bacterial small subunit ribosomal RNA", at positions 28 to 507 of the family's 1533-position model. The record is from RNAcentral.
GAUGAACGCUGGCGGCGUGCCUAAUACAUGCAAGUCGAGCGAACAGACGAGGAGCUUGCUCCUCUGACGUUAGCGGCGGACGGGUGAGUAACACGUGGAUAACCUACCUAUAAGACUGGGAUAACUUCGGGAAACCGGAGCUAAUACCGGAUAAUAUAUUGAACCGCAUGGUUCAAUAGUGAAAGACGGUUUUGCUGUCACUUAUAGAUGGAUCCGCGCCGCAUUAGCUAGUUGGUAGGGUAACGGCUUACCAAGGCGACGAUGCGUAGCCGACCUGAGAGGGGGAUCGGCCACACUGGAACUGAGACACGGUCCAGACUCCUACGGGAGGCAGCAGUAGGGAAUCUUCCGCAAUGGGCGAAAGCUUGACGGAGCAACGCCGCGUGAGUGAUGAAGGUCUUCGGAUCGUAAAACUCUGUUAUUAGGGAAGAACAAAUGUGUAAGUAACUAUGCACGUCUUGACGGUACCUAAUCAGAAAGCCACGGCUAACUACGUG